CCUUCGCUUCAUGCCGCCUUGAUCAGUUCGCCCGAGCCUAAUCCUAAUGAGCAAGCCAUUGUUUAUCAAGGUGGAUAUGGAGGAACAGCCACCGACUUUCGCGGCCAAAUAUUGGAUGAGGUUGAGAUACGGGAGUUGCUCAUUGAUCAUGUUGGUCAUCGGUGCUGUUGGGGAAGCCGUCCAGCUCGAACUUGGAAGAUUCAUGCAGUAGAAGACUGCAAUGUAUAUGUUGGAACUCUAGACACAUUUAUAGAG
This 255-nucleotide unclassified non-coding RNA is filed under the name Hevea brasiliensis (rubber tree). Lineage: Eukaryota; Viridiplantae; Streptophyta; Magnoliopsida; Malpighiales; Euphorbiaceae. The record is from RNAcentral.